AAAUAAAAAAAUAAUGAUGUUGCUAAAUAAAAAUUAAAAGAAGAAAAAGAAGUAGAAAGUUAUAUAUUGAGGUGUUGAGAGCAUAUGGGGGGUGUAGAUGGAAAAAUAGUAGAGAUGAGAAUAAUGGAGAAUAAAUAUAAUUUUAAUUCUCAUCAAACCAAUUUAUUUGCAAUAAUACCAUGAUCCUUUGGCAUUAUUUUAGAGGAGAAUGAAUAGACAACAUUUUGAAUGCAUAGAACAAAACAAACACAAAACAAAAAUAGUGCUAGUGAGUGAGAGAAGAGAAAGAGCUCAUGGGAGAGUGAAGAGAAGCAAAGGAAGGAAAAGUUUAACCUCAAUUUAGGGAGUUCACUACAAUCCAAAUUUUCAGGUAGGAGAUGAAUCAUAGCUGAUGUGUUCGGAUAGCUGUUGCUUUGCUAUUUAAUUGGAGUCGCUCUGUUAGGAUGUUGUUGGGGAGAAACUUUAUUUAAUUAUGCUGCUAAAUUUUUAUAACAAUUGGACUAUGUCAUUUGAUUCAGUAUUUUCAAUUCGGACUUUGAAACUUAUAUUAUUUUUGUAUUUUCCGCUGCAUGAUUUUUAAUCAUUUGAAGAAUUAGUUAA
This is a long non-coding RNA of Trifolium pratense (red clover), 600 nucleotides long. RefSeq lists it as uncharacterized. The transcript has 2 exons. NCBI's taxonomy places the organism in Eukaryota, Viridiplantae, Streptophyta, Magnoliopsida, Fabales, Fabaceae. The record is from RefSeq and is a predicted model, not a curated record.